This is a long non-coding RNA of Peromyscus californicus insignis, 20381 nucleotides long. RefSeq lists it as uncharacterized. The transcript has 3 exons. Lineage: Eukaryota; Metazoa; Chordata; Mammalia; Rodentia; Cricetidae. The record is from RefSeq and is a predicted model, not a curated record.
UUGGCAGAGAAAAACAGAGGGAGAGUGAACAAGUUGGAAAUAAUGGCGAGGAAAGGGUUCUGCUUGGCUCCUUUCCAACAUUCAACUUCACUGGACUACAGAGAGGAUGUGCCAAUACAGGCAAGGACACGGGAACAGCAAGGAUUCCCAUAAUGACUGGGCACCUGGUAAGUCCCUAACUGUUAAAGGAGUAUAUGGUUGGUGUUUGUCGCUGCUCCCACAUGUCAAGGGAGUCGAAGCUCCCAUUCUGUCUUGUUUUAAGGAAGUCACAUCUUGAAGUAUCCCAGUGAGACCACACAUGUGAAGGCAGGGUCUCAGGAAUGAUAGACCAGGGGUGGGUGAGGCUCUCAUCUCUACUGCCAUACUUCCUACUCAACAAUGGUAUAGUUUUCAUUAGGAAAACAAUUUCUAAAGAACAUUUUCAAUCUCUAAAGCCCAAUAGAAGUAUGGAGAAGAAAAUUGUAUCUCUCAUUUCUCAGAGAGAAAAGUAGGGCAUAAUAUUAUUAAAUGCAUCCCAGAAGUCUUGAGGUUCCAUUCUUCAGAAGUUAGCCACCAUGUGCUGAGGCACCUUUGAUUCCUGACUGCUCCCCACCCCUGCAAAAGCUGGGUUAGGUUUAACCUUCUUGGAGUCAUGAGGUAAACAGUGAUGUUGAGAUUAGAUAUUGGCUCAGAAUCAGCAUUUUGAGGGCAGACCCCGUAAAUCCUUCUUUAAUUCCUCCCUUCCUAGUCCCUUUCCACAACUGAGACUAAACACACUAUCCAGAGAGGGGAGUUGAGUGCUGUAGGAAGGUCUCAUUCAUCUUUGGAAGAACUCUGGGAAGUAUUUUCUUCUCUGAUAAGCCAUGAAACUACAUAAGACACUCCUCCUUCCUGCCUGGGGACAUGGAGCCAUCUAAAUAGUGGGUGUCUUGAGGCUGUGGGGAAUCCCAGAGGUGAUUAUGGAAGCUCAUGUCAACACUCAGAGACCUGUGAACUAGUUUCAGAAACCUCCUGUCCCAGAUCUGCUGGUGGAGGAGCAUAAAUCUCUGUGUUCAGAUUCUACUGGCUGGCUGGGACUCUUCGCCACACUACGCUACGCAUGCUCCUUGAUUCAGGAAGUAGAGCACUGUUGGAUUAAGUUGUAGCAAUAUGGAGGGACUUCCUGAGCCACAUGGCUCAUGGACUAGUGGAGUGGAUGCUGCUGAGACACAUGAUCCCCUGUAACUCUUAGUGAUGCAGAGGAAGGCUAAUCCUAAGAAGCAGAGGACUCACUGCUCAGCAGAAAGGUGGAGCUCAUUCUUCUGUGGCAUCCCCUAACUCAUGAGCCACCCCUAAAAAGCUGUAUAUUCUCACUGGUCCCACUUUUCAUGGUGUAUCUGUGAUAUUUCUGCAUUAUAUGUGGGUACAGGAGGACAUGCUAUUCACUUAACCUAAAAGCAAUAACAUAUGCCAUGAGUUAUAUAGAAGACCAGACUUGGAGAUAACUGGUGAGUGGGAAAUCAUUUUCCAAAUCGCCUGAUGCUGGUUUAGUGAGAUUGGAAAUCUGUGAUGUGUUCAUAAGGACCCACUUCUGCCACUGAACCCCUUCUCUGGACACCAGCUUCUGAAUCUUCAAAGCUGGGUUUUAUUUUUUCCUUCCUCAUUUCUUGCCUUGGCAUUGAGCUUGGAAGCUAACAGUGGACAAGGUUCUGAUGAAGUGGAGUUGAGGGAAUUUAAAAUGAGAAGCCUCAAAGGACAGCAGUAAUUAAUUAAUUAAGCUAUAAUUAGCUGGGUUUCAUUUUACAUAGCAAUGCUCCCAAACACUCCAAUGUCCUAUAACAUAAUUCACUGUAAUUGCCCUUCUUGGCAUUAACCCCGAACAGCCCUGGGACAUCAGCAGGCAGCACAGCUAACCACUGCCUGUCAUUAUCCUAGCCUUCACAUGGUGUUCCUGGGCUAGUAUGGAGGAGGAGAGACAAAGGCAACCUGGAGGGUGGGUGCAGAGCCCACUUUAGCUGAUCAAGAACCUUCCGAAAGAUCUCCUGAGUGCCACUUUCCUGACUCAUCAGAGUUGAACCUGUGGGUACUUACUAUGGACCAGGGCCUGCACUUCCCUUGUCCUCUAUGGUCAACUGGGAACCUAGAGCAUGCCCAUAGGAGGUGGAUGGUGAUGUUGGUGGGCAGUCAGUAACUAUUAAUGGAUGACCAACUGUGUAAGUGCUGAAAUAUCACCUUCAAAAGCCGUGCAUGGUUUAGCCCUUAGUAACUGAUCUUUGUUUGUUCAGGGGUGAAAACACGGAGUAGUGGCCUGCCCAUCUCUACAGCUGAACUCUGGCCCUGUACUGAAGGUUCUGAGCAUAGGGAGCCAAAGCACUCAUACCCCAAGUCUCCAUGUCUGCGGAUCAGGCUUACUCCUUCCUUCUCCUAGUCUGCCUUAGAAGAUCCUGCUUUCUCUUUUGUUGUUGUUGCUCAGUUGUUGAGUAUUUUUUCUUCCAACAAACACCAGGGGUGUGACAUGAGGACAGUGUGGUAGAGACAGCCAAAGCAUCAGGUAGGUAAGGUCAUGCUGUACUUCCUUCACAACUGCCUUUCCCAGGAUCAGAGUUUCUGGAGUCCCAAAGCCAUGGGAACAGUUGUCAUUUACCUACCCCAUGACCUCAGGAAGGGGAUUCCGCACCAACCCUUCAUCUCGGAAAGUGGAUAACUGUGGUUACCAGCCUUCUUCUUGACCCUUUGGGAGGGGACAAACCGGAAGAAAUGCCUGCCUCCUGGCUAACAGCAUAAAGUCCUAUGACAGGUUAAUUGUUAGGUAUGAAGGUAGGAGUGCUCAGCCUGUCUGCAGAUGAUGGAGACAAGACUAUGUGCAAGUGUGUGCUUCAUAAACAGACCGGCCCAGCUCAGUGGAUUCUUCAUGCUACUCCUGGCUACUCUUUUGGGGAAGGAGAAGGAGGAGACAAGGACAAGGGACAGAUGUAACCAGUGCCUUUAGGCAACAGAGACACAGUGGGGGUGGGGAGACUGGCUGGAACGAAGAGUGCCCCGAAUAACUAGAUUUGUCUAUACUCAGAUCUACACAGGAAACUCCCGUGGCAAAGGUGAGUAUUUAGAAAGCACCCCAAGAAGUUAGUCUCAGGGUAUCCCAUGAGUGUGAAAACACUGCUUGCUUGUAUGUGAACUAGCCACCUACCUCUUGCAGCUUUCCUGAGACCCAGCCUGACCUGCUGCUCUCUGUACCAGAAUAGGCCUCAGCCCUCAUAGUCUAGAAGUUUGUGCUGUGUCUGUCAUCUGUUGCUAAGAAACACGACAACUCCAACCUCUGUGACCAUAAGCAAGGCUACUCACUUAUGUCCCACAGUUCUUGUGGUCAGAGGUCUAGAGGAACUGGCUUGUCAGUCUGACUUGGAUUCUGUUGUGGUCAUCUCCUGUCUGCUUCUUGGGCUGGAAAGACUGGGAAUCUGUUCCCACCCCUGUGGAGCUCUCCUCGAACUGAAUAUUCACUCUUCCUUAGGAUGCCGUACUCAGUACCUGCCCUCAGUGGCUUCUGGCAACCUCUUCCUGGUCUUUCCUCAGGGUCCUGCUCACCACCAGGUACGUGGAAUCAUCUUCCAGAUAGACAACUUGUUCUUCCUCACUGUAGCUCAGAAUCUUUGCCUCUAGAAGGUUCAAAUCAUAGGCUACCCCCUUCCAGAUAGACAACUUGUUCUUCCUCACUGUAGCUCAGAAUCUUUGCCUCUAGAAGGUUCAAACCAUAGGCUACCCCCUUACCCCUAAAGCCACUGGGAAACCACCACAUGGUCCCUGGGAGAAGGUAACUAAUACUACCACAGAGGCACAUGCAGAAUGUCUACCUGGGGGCUCCUCUAGCCAGAAUGGAAUCUGAUCUCAACCAGCCUUUGGAGUGUAACCAAAUUCAGGUUCCUGGGCUUAAGAGGCUGCACCUCUGGAGGGUCACAACAGGGGGCUUUCUUUUGGUUUUUCCUCUGCCACUUUGGAACCCAGAACUUUGAAAGUCACCAGACUGAACAAGAGGGAGGUGACAGUGUGUAGUAAGACUUAAUAUCCGCCUUCCAUUUGAAUACACCUUCCUAGCCACAAAGACAUGAUUCACAGUCCCGAGAAGCCCUGUUAGCCUAUGCUUAUUGUAGUGAGAACACUGCUGCCUUCUUUCCUCGGCAGAGUAAGAACAAGCUCCCUUGUGCCUGGGUAUUUCUUUCCCUGCCCUUUAGCCAACAUGUUGUGAGUAAUGUCUGUCAUAAAACAGAAAGUGCAGGAGUCUCACAAGCUUGGAGUAGCAAUGGCUUGGUGUGCACCUUUGCAUGCCAGAGGAGGAGGGCACAGGGAGGGGCCUUAGUGUGGCCAGCAGCCAUGGCUUCUCUACUCUUGAACCCUGUACAGGUGGAUUUCAGCCCACAGAUAAAGUCACAGGAAAAGAGAACCUUAGAAACUGGGUUGGUAAGAUGGCUUAGUUUGUAAAGGAAAGGGCUUACUGUGUUAACCCCUAGUUGGCUGUGGCAGUGUGUGCCUGGAAACUUAGUGCUGGAGAGGCAGAGACCAGAGGAACCCUGGGGUUUGUUGGCUAACCUGUUGAGCCAAAUUGGUAAGCUCUAGUUUCAGUGAAAGACUGUCUCAAAAACAAAAUGGAAAGUGAUUGUGGAAGACGUCUGAUGCUGCUCUCUGCCGCUACAAGCUUCUGCACACAUGUGCCCAUACACAUCAACACAUGCACACACACACAUACACACACACACACACACACACACACACACACACACACACACACACACACACAGAGAGAGAGAGAGAGAGAGAGAGAGAGAGAGAGAGAGAGAGAGAGAGAGAGAGAGAGAGAACAUGCUCUGAGAGAAAAGCAAGUAUAAUGCAGGCCCAUAUGCAAGCCCAGGGUUUUAGACAUAGCUGAAAAGGGAGAAACCACCUAAACUAUGAGGGGCUGGGCAUGCAGAGAGCACUGUGUACACUCUGAUUCCUGAGAUAAGGAGCUCUCUUCUUUUGUCUUUCUGUAAAGAUACAAGGAAGAUCUGAUCUUAAAAUCAGAGAGCAAAAGCAGCCAUUAAGACUCAAGGAAGCAGUUCACCUUCAUGAAUGAAAAGCAGUUUCAGCUGAGACAAAUAAGGCUGAGAUGGAGCUCAGUGUAGCGCGCUUGCCUGGAAUGCCUGGCUCCCUGGCUCCCAUCCCCUACACCACAACAAAUAGAUGAAAUAAAGAAGUAUAUAAAGAAAUGAACGGAUAAAUAAAAUCUUAAACUGAGAAUAUAAAACCGCUAAAAAAUGGAGAACUCUUGGUGAGGACAACUGUGCAUUGGCUAAAAUUGCCACUACCCGUUCAUGUCUCUUUAGCUAGACUUGUGGCCACCCAACAACUGGAUCAAAGGAACACACUGUGUUCCUGUGAAAGAACUCAAGGCUUUCUGACAUGUGAUGGUCACUUUGCUCUGAUUGUCGAGGUAAGACAUGCCAAGUUUGCAGAGAAGUGGUUAUUUCUUCUUCUUGGGUGGUCGUUUUAAUGGCUCUGUCUGGCUGAUAGGAGAGCUCAUCCAUGGACAAGGGCUAGGAGAUGGUUCAAUCUAAAAUAAGCAUUGCUUUCUAUGGGGAAGCAGGGUGGUUCUGCCAGGAUUCCUGCAGAGUCUACUAGUUGGCCCAGACAUUUCCAGACCUGGAGAUCUGUAAGGUUGACCCCAUCUAGCUUUCUAAUAUCUCCUCUUUGUGCUGAAGAUCCUGGUCCCUGAGUUACCCAACUGACUUUUCUUAACAUAGUUUCACAGGCUGGAAUAUUCUCCUUUCUUCUCCUGGUCCCCCAUACUUGGACACAGUGAAAUAACUUCAGGAUGAAGGAAAUUCUAUGGAGUCAAGGAAGGGAUCUCGAUAUCUGCAGAAACUCACGGUUCCAGCAUCUCCACAUCACAAGUGUCCACAGACCUGUGCUCAGAUUUGAAGUUUCACAGGAGAUUCACUGACAUCCAGGGACCCUGGUUCUCAGCAACACCAUGCCUCUCCUUGAGGACACCCAGUCUCCUGCUGUGAUGAGACUAUGUUCUCUGAAGUACCUGGACUCUGGUCUUUCGGUGCGCCAGUGACCGACCCUGUGCUGAGGAUUCUCUAGCUCUAGAUUGAAAUCUUGACAAGCAGUUCUCAAAGUGUCCAUUUCCUUCUGCUGGAAACCGCUUAGUUUGAGGUUUUGAAAAAAAAAAAAAAGCACAAUUUUCUCUGAAAGAGUGCCCUGCGGCUCUGCUCUUCCUGUAGUUACUAUCCUAAAGGGAAGGAGGCAUUCAGGCCAGAUACUUCCAUGUUCCGCAUCAUCUACCCAGCCAGGCUGCUGGUUGCUCAUGGAGAGUCCUGGGUCACGCAUAGCAUGAGGGCCUUGGCAGCAAAUGCUGGACCCCACCUCCUCGAGUCUGGGACAGGCUCCUGCAGUCUUUAUAGCCACUUCUCUGAAAAUUACUAACACUGUGGGCACCUUGACUGCCUGUGUUUCCUCUGGUAUGAGUACCUGGCUGCCUUACAUGUCUUUGCAUUCUCAAGGUCAUUUCCAUGAUUUACUGCCAGCUAACAUCCACUGUGCCAGGAAAAGACACUGAGCGCUGUACUGGCAGUGGGAGGAGCACAGCGGGGCCAUGAUGAGCCCCCAGGAGGGGAUGGCCCUUAGACCAAACAGCUCAUUCCAACAUUAGCUGCCAUAUACACAAAGUUUAAGAGGAAUGAGGGACAGAUGGAAAGUCUGAAUAAGGAUGUUUAGCCACUUACCACUGGUUAGAUCUGGAAAUCAGGCACUUAUCUCCAUGCUCACUCCAUCUCCAAUUGUGGUCUAACAGGGAAACUUCCUGCAUUCUUGAGUACUGUUAGACCUUAACAUGCCACAUUAAAGGCAGUUGGUAUAUCCUGAGUAGAGCAAGCUCACUAACAGGCUCUGAGACAGUUUGUGGGUAUACACUGGUUUUGGAGCCCAACUCUGGCCUGGAAGACAGAGGCCACAGGGAGAGAAAAGCCUCAGCUGACACUUUCUGAGAUAGGACAGUGCUUUGGAUACAGGACAGCAGAUCUCACAUUCCCUGAACAGGCUCAUGAGGGCAGCCUGCCUCACAGCACACCACCCCCCUCCCACCAGGCAUGCUGACUCUGAUUUGUAGGUUCAUCUGCACAGGUCCAGGGCCAGCAUGUGGAAGCAUAAAGAACAUAUAACAACCACCCCCCAAAAGGAAGUCUAGCUGAGUGCACCCCAGGGUUUGGUGGCUUCUAUAGUUCAUGAAGAAGGUCCUGAUAACAGCAGCUCAUCAAUCUUGUGAUAGGGAGGCCAUGAGCCCAUGGCCUCCACUGCCACUAGGUGCUCACAGUUGUGUUCUGUGUACAUUGAGAUCCUGAACGUUUGACCUGGGUGCCAAGAUGUUCAGAUAUCUCCCUAGAGCACCUCUGUCCCUAGCUGUAUGUAGUAUCCAGACUGUACACUGUGGAGGGUCUGUUGCGUCCCUUUGUGAUGUGUGCUGGCUGAGAUCUGUGGUCAAGCAUGCUUGACCAGCGCCACCAGUGGGAGUUGUACCACAGACCACUGGCCUGGGCAAAAACCCGAAUUCAAAAUUUGCAGUAUUUUUCUCCUAUUCUUUUGUUCUCUGGCGCAGACCCGUACCUCAUGAAAAAUCCGACACCCCACCUCCUCAACAAGGUAGCCUUAGCGCUAUGUAGGUUAGGGUAGCUUCAAAACUCAGACAUCCACCUGCCUCUGACUCCUGAGUGCUGGGAUUAAAGGUGAGAGCCACUUCCUGCUACUCUCUCCAGUCCUGCAGGUCUUAUUUCCUGGCCUCCAGCCUCCACUCAGGAAGACAUAACCUUACAAUAUGUGCUCCUGAAGUUGCCUAGAAAGCCAUGCUUGUGAUUGUGUGUACCUGUAAAUCGCCAUAUUCUAUCUAUUUGAUCAUUUAACAGUUUAGCCAGAUAUAUAAUUCAUGUGGGAACUUUUUUUCCCUAAAAUUUUUACAACCUCUUCUCAUGCAUUUCUCAUUUCCAGUACUCACCAGGCCAGCAUCAGCAGCACUCAGUAUACUUCUGUGGACCUUCCCUUCUCUCUAGGAAUGUUUGAGGGCACCCUUCUUCCUGGUAUUCUAAAACACUAAAGUGAAAGUCCUUCCUGUUCAAUUGCUGAACUAACCUUCCCCUAUCUCUUUUGUGUGUGCGCAUGUACUAUGGUCCACUGCUUGCCCUUGGCUAGGAGAGUUAUCCUUAGCGCUCCUUCAAGCCUUUUAUGGGAUUUCACUCUGAGUGGCACCCUGCUGUAUUUCCAAGGACUCUUCUUCUUCUCUCACGGCUGCAUUUUCACUUCCUUGUUUUGCUUCAGAAAAAUAAUUCCACCUUUUAGCUCCCUGAACAUACUAAUUGUACAAUUAAAAGUGUUCUUUUCCCUGAAUGUGCCUAUAUCCCAGCCCCUUUCUAAAGGCCCCUCCACUUGUUCAGGUCUCAUCUGGGGCUUGGGUGUGGUGGGGAAAGGCUUUCUCAGGGGUCAGAGCAAUUGUUGGAUGGUAUUUAACACUUAAGUGCAUCAUCACAAGGCUGACUGGUCCAUGGGGCUGAUGUCCAUGGGGUUUUCCUGGGAGCCUGUCAGAUUCCACUGUCUGCACUGAACCCUCUCUGGUCUGCUCACAGCUUUUGUGUGAUAUGUCCCCAUCUUUGUUUCCAAUGUCUCCAUCUCCUUUUUCCUUUUCUUCUGACUGUAUUUUUAAAAGCAUUUUUGGGACAGAAUUGAGAUAGUGGGGAUGCUUUAGCUGCAUAUGUCACUGAAAAUAUAUCCGUUUAUUCUAAAUGUCACUCCAGUCAGGCUGGGUUCCCUGAGUGAUGCUGAGACAAGGAUUAAGUGCAGGGACAAUGUGAAGGUGGUCUCAGAGAAGGUCACUGAGAAUAUGGAGUCAGGAAAGGUAAGCUAAGAGUGGGAUAUGGCCAGACAGUGAGCAGGGGACGGUUGUGUAGGUCUUACUGAAGAUAUCUGGAGAAUAUUUUGAAAACAUUUCCUGAAGGCAAACCUCUAGGAUGUCCAGUUCAAUUCCCUCCACCAGUGCUGAGGACAAGCAUCUUCCUGAGCUCACUCCCCCAUACUUCUGCCCUCCCCAGCCAAUGACUAGUCACUCUGCUAUGAGCUUUCUAGUAGUCACAGGUCCUUGGCAAGGAGAACUUUGAGUGUCAAGGUAUGUGGAGGUCACACUGACACCAUUUGCUGUGUCCAAAAAAAUUGCUUCAUGUUGCUUCCAUGAUGUCCCAUAUCCUGUCUGCUGACAGAUGGGCUGCAUUGGGUCACUCUGGAUUUCUCAGGGAAGUGCUAGCUUCAGCCAGGCCUGAUAUGACUCACAAAAGUCCUCUUGAUUGAUGUGGUGGUACAUUCCUAUAAUCCCAGCUCAUGAGACUGGGGUAGAGGGAUCAGAUCAGGAGUUUGACACUAUCCAGAGCUAUAUAAUGAAUCUCUGUUAAAAAAAAAAAAGACUGAGCUUACUGUAGUUAGAGGCAACAAUGACCUAGGUGAGGGCUGGGCAGGUCCAAGGGUGUGAUGCAGUCAGAAAGUUCUCCUGAUGCACCUCGGUUUUGUAGACAUCUAUGGUGAUGGGAAGGGUCACAGCUAGGAGGCAGAGCAGUGCAGAGUGUAGUAAAGCGACCUAGGAUAAGGGUGACCCUGGAAUUGAAAACUGAAAAUGUAAGAGGGGUCAAGGGAAAUUGAUCGGUGUCACUUUGAUCUUACCGUUCAUCUUACUUAGAGAAGCCUUCACUCAUUAAUCCCUCUCCCUUCUCGGACUCUGCCUGGUUUCCUAGUCAAUCACCUGCUUCUGGAAUGCCAUGCAAGGACUGGGUUACCUGCUCACAUUUCAUUCCCCUCUGAGGACUUCCCUGUGGGUAGAGGAGACUGACUGUCCUAAUUAUCCGUUGCUGGGUAACAAGUGACUCCAGAAUUAGUGGUGUGUAACACAACCAUUUGACGAUAAAGUAUUAUUUUAGAAUCAGGAAUUCGGGUCAGAUCACAUUGACAUUAAAUGGGGUUGCUUGAUCUCUAACUUGUGCUUGUCCUCCUCUGAAGGGUCCAAGAUGGCUUCAUUCAUACUUAGCAUCUUUCCCUCUCCACCAUCAUGGCCAUUGAUAGCGACAAUUCCUGAGUGGCACCCCAGGACCCCAAAUGGGAGCCAAGAAAGAGGGAACUCCACAGAAGACUCAGCGGAGCCCUGAUGUUGUGUCCUUUUGGUUACAGAAAUCAUGGGUAAUGUGCAUCCAGGAGAUAGGUCUGUGGGCUGUGGCUGUUUCCAAUGCUUUGAGGGGAGAGAAGAUAAAGUGUUUGGCAAGAAGAGAGCCCGUGCAUAAAACCAGAAAUUCAAAAACAGUGUCCUCUCUCUGCAAGGGUGCUGGAAACUCCUCUAUGCUGGAACAUGAAAAAACAGGAGCAUCAUAGUCUUCCAGGUAGGACACAAGGACCAAGAUGGCUGCCUGUAACCUAGAAAAGAGUCCUGAGCGGAACCUGCUGGCACCUGACCUCAAGUUCCCACCCUCCAGAGCCCCAGCAGAAGGAUAUCUGUUGCCUACUCUACACAGUUUACAUUCUCUUGCUGAAGUUGUCCCAUUUGGCCAGGCAACUGCUCACUUUGUCCUCCACCUCCCACAAACGAUCCCUGUAUGUACCUAAUUACUAGUGCAAAAUGUAUGUCCUGGGAUUUUUCAUUCCAAGUGAAAAAGUCACUUCCUCUUUUGAGCCAGAUCCUAGCCUGACUGUCUGUCUCCACUGGGACUGUCUUUGAAAUGCCUUUGAGCAUUUUCUGCUCCUUCCAGUUCUUUGAGAGACUUCACCCUUUAGUGGAAAAUGUCUCAACUUCCUAACCAAUGUGCACUUGUUACUCUUCCCGUUGUUGUUACCAAAUACCAGACAAGAAGCAACUCCAGAGGGGAAGGAUGUAUUCUGGAUUGAGGAGGAGGAUGAGGAGGAUACAGUUCACCAUGACAGUGAAAUCUGGGUGGUGUUUAUGGCAGUGGGACUCACAUCUUGGAAGAUAAAGAAACAGACAGGCUAGCCCAAAAGUGUGUCUGAGUUAUAACCCGUAAGACCUCCUUCCUUCAACUCACUUCCUCUAGUAGGCCCCAACGGUUUCACAAUCUCCCCAAACAGUACCACCAGCCAGGGAUCAAGUGUUCAAACACAUGAGCCUGUAGAAGCUAUUUUACACUUAACCCAUAGCAAGGUGAUGGUUCUGGCUGGUUUUAUGUCAACUAGAAACAAGCUGGUCAUUUGGGAAGAGGAACCUCAAUUGCAAAAAUUCCCCCGCCAUAUGGGCCUGUGGGCAUUUUCUUUAAUGAUCAUUGGUGUAUUGUGGAUGACUCAUGUAUAUUCAAUGAUAUAGCCCAUUGUGGAUGGUACCAUUCCUGGGCUGGUAGUCCUGGACGCUAUAAGAAAGCAGGCUGAGGAAGCCAGUAGGCAGCACUCCUCCAUGGCUUCUGCAUCAGUUUCUGCCUCCAGGUUCCUGCUCUGCUUGAGUUCCUUCCCUGAUUUCCUUCAGUGCUGGACUGUGAUGUAUAACUAUAAACUGAAAUAAAUCCUUUCCUCUCCAAAUUGCUUUUGGUCAUGGUGUUUUACCACAGAAAUAGAAACGCUAAAGGAAGACAGUGCCUAUGGACAUACCUGUGCUGAUUGGAAAUAUUUACCAUCAUGCUUCCUGUUGAAAGUGUUUGACUCACAAACAAUGUCCCUGUAGCAUUGCCUUGCCUAUCCUAAUCAAAAGGAGCCUUACUUACGAGGCAAGAUUUGAUGGGACAUAUAUACACAACAGACAUGAUUCUGCAGUGUGCUCUAUGGUUCUGCUCAGGUGAAUGGAUGCUGAGACAUGCUGAGAGAACUGCCAUUUGCUCUGCCUGUGUGCACAGCACUCCUCCUCUGUGUAGUCCCCUGGGCUCCCUGAUUGGAAGCAGAAUGCAAAAUUACAAGUAUGUCUACAUCGACUUCUUUAUUAGAGCUUCUAAUGAAGUGCCAAUUCUCAGACACAAGCUAACAAGAAGCUCCUUGUUUGGAAUAAAUUCAAAGGCAAAGAUAGGACAUUUACUUUUUUACCAGACUCGAAAGAAUAAGAUACAAAGGAAGUUAGCGUCCCCUGUCCCUUUGGAGGUUACUGUAUAUGGCUCAAUGUGAACACAUUGUCAUCUGCCUGUAGACCUGUUGGUGUCUGAUAGGCAUGCAUGGCUUGUUAGAAAUGUUUGUGGGUUCCAAGUGAGGUGCUGUAUUGGAAAGGGAAGGUCUCUCCCCGGAUAUUGCCUUUUGGGAGAGGAGUAGCUCAGAUGUAGAUAUGAAAAUUUCUUGAGACAGAGCUUGCAUCUGCCUCCUUCUCUCUACCCCAAGUAGAAGUAGUUCCAUGAGGGAUGAGGUUAUGUGUUAGUACCCCAGGUAAAGUGUGAACUUAAGUUACAUCCUGGUUAGUGGGUAUCUCAAUUUAUGCCAGAAAUUUCUGGAGCGAGGCAGCAUGGGGAACCCUUACUCCAAACCUCCAAAGUAGAAGGGGAGAGCCCACAUCUGAAGGUUUAGUAUCUGGGGUCUGUUGGGAUGCUGCUCCCUGAGAAUCUGCUGAGCACUUUCCACCUUGUGAAUAAAGCAUAGAUGAAACAGUGGUCAUAUGGAGUAGUUGUGUGAGGUUCUUUUUGGUCCAGCCUCUGCCAUUUGACAGUGACACCAGUGUUGCCUUGUGGGCCAGAAGGACAGAAGAAUCAGAGGGCUGAGUCUCCUAGAGAGCCCACAGUGGAGACUCCCCAAUCCUAUCAUGUAUGGAAGAAGGCGUUCCCCACCAUCAGUUCCAUCUAUGCUAGCUCCAUCUCCCCCGCCCUCAUCUGUAGCAUGGACUGGUUACUUCAGUGGGAACUGUAGCCAUGGGAACAGACACUGCUGAUUCAGUUGUGAGUGCCCUGACUGGAAGCAUUAGGUGCUCAGCAAUGGCUGGGAAGCCAGUUAGUUUGGUCUGCUCAUCUUGUGUUUUGGUUAAGUAGUCUGCCAUUCCUAUUUGGAUGAUCUGUAUCUAAGAGGUUCAGAUGCUUUCAAUGGAAAAAUAAUAUGAUAAAUAUAAUUAACAAGGGCGUUUUCCCUGGAAAUGAGGCAAAAUCUUUAAAGACACUUUGUUUGGUGUCUUCAUCCUAACAGGAGGCUCAGUUCACAGGCCAGAAUAGCAGUGAUGAGGGUUAUGGCCACAGUCUGAUCCUGAAGGCAAAGCAGGCAGUUUUAAUUUUCCAAUAGUUCCUUCCCCAAGUGUCUGCAAGCAUUUUGGGAGCCCAAGAGCUUUUCUCCCUAACUGUCCAGAUUUCAAGUUCACUGCUUACCACUAGAGUGGCUUUCAGCAAGAUUCUUUCCCUCCCUGAGCUUUGGUCUUCUCCUCUGUCAGUUGGAGGUAAUGAGUCACUACAUCAUGGGGUCUCUGGGAACAUGAGAAUUUGGACAUAAGCAAUUUUUGAACAGUAACUAUAGUGUAGUUGUGAGGGAUCUGGUGAUCAGUCACUCUGCAGCUAAGUAUGCCAGGGGCUAAGGCAAUAGUCAGGGGAUGUUCAUGAUGCUGUGGACCAGAGUCUGGGAAGGGCUCAGCAGAGGGUUCUCAAUAGUGUUCACAAGGAAAAUGGACUGGACGUCCAAUUUGGAAUUUUUUUUAGACAUCUAUGGCCUGAGCUGAGAUGGCUCGAGGGCCUAGUACCAGUAGCCUCUCCAUAGAGUAGCUUGCUUUCAAUGUGGUGGUCCCACAGGGGCUAAUUCUUUGCACAGCAUCUUGGGUCUCUAAAAUAAUAUCUGCAUCUCUGCAGAUGAGGAAGAUGCAGGGCCUCAGUGACCCUGGCCUUAGAAUUCACACAGCACUACCUUCCUGCAUUCUCUCAGUGACACACUGGGUGCUAAGUGAACCCAUGAGAACUGGGCUCCUCCCAGGAUAGGGCAGGGGCAAGGUUGCCCUGAAGAAGAGAGAGUGAAAUGGAAUGUCAUUGUAGCGAUGUUUGGAAAACACAGAUUGCCACAGUGAGUAAAAAGUCAUUUUAAAUUACAUUCAUCUUAGAAUCUUUAUGUGCUGCAGAGGGCUGAGGAUGAAUAAUAGCCUUGCUUAAGGGAUGAACACAUGGAGGUUUGGUAAAGAAGAUUAAUUUGCUAAAAAUCAUACACUUAAAUGAAAAUGUGUUCAGAAUCUGAAGUGUCCUGAAUCCAGGACCAGCUGCUGAUUUCCCCACAUCCCUGUGGGCAAUGAAAUGUAGCUAGUUUGCAGGACUCUGCAUUCUUUUUGGGAGUAUAAACUCUAACUUUUACAUUUUGAAAUAUAUAAAGCCUCACAAGUUAAUUACCACUCAGUGUUCUUUUAUUUUUGUCAGUGCUCAGGAUGGAACCAAGGAUCUUGUGUUUGAUGACUUAUCCACUUUUCUGUUGUGAAACUCAGACAGCAGUUACAGGGCAAAAGGGAAAAGCCAAUAGCACAUGAUUAUUUUGAAGAUCACAUCUUAAAGACACUAUAUUGAGGCUGGGCAGCGGUGGCGCACACCUAUAAUCCCAGCACUCGGGAGGCAGAGCCAGGCAGAUCUCUGUGAGUUCUGGUCUACAGAGCAAGAUCCAGGACAGGUACCAAAGCUACACAGAGAAACCCUGUCUUGAAAAACCAACCCCCGCCCCAAAUUGACUACAUUGAAGCUAUAUUACUUCUUGUUUGAAGCUGGCAUAUCUGAGAAACUGUCUUGUACAUACAUGUUAUCAUGGUGGGUACGCAGUGCUUGGCACAUAACUGUCGAUGCCCAGGGAACUUAAGCACAGAGUAUGUUACAAAUGCUUACAAAUAAAGUGAGUAGGAGGGCAGGGGACACCAGGAUGAAAUGCAGAUUAUGACAGGAGGUCUAACUGCCCCAUGUAGCAGGAAUCUUAGAAGUUCUUAUUAAUUAAAUCAAACCUAAGGCCAGAUAUUGGGGUGAAUGCUGGAAGAUCAGAGAGACAGAACAAGCUACAGCUACCUCACCUUACCAAUUCCUCAGCUGGUCCUGUUUCCUCAGACUGGAAGCCUCUGAGUCCUCAUCUAGAAUGAAUCUCAGUUGAACUGCUACUCGAAAGCCUGAAAGCUUAACCAGCCAAAUGCUUCUAGUUUCUGGUCUUCACGCCUUAUAUAUCCUGCUUUCUGCCAUCACUCCCUGGGAUUAAAGGCUCACUUCCUGGGAUUAAAGGCGUGUGUCACCAUGCCUGGCUGUUUCCAACGUGGCCUUGAACUGACAGAGAUCCAGAGGGAUUUCUACCUCUGGAAUGCUAGGAUUAAAGGUGUGAGUGCCACCAUUUUCUAGCCUUUGUAUCUAGUGGCUGUUCUGUCUCUGACCCCAGAUAAGUUUAUUAGGGUGCACAACAUUUUGGGGAACACAAUACCACCACAGCCUUACAAACUUAUGAAGCAGCAUCACUGAAGGGCUUGGUGGGAAUGUGUAUGAAACAUGAUCCUUAUUAGUCUUAAUCAAUAAAAACCUGGACUCAGAUAUCAGGGUGAAAACUGAAAGAUCAGAGAAGCAGAACAGCCAGCCAUCAGACUUCUACAAAAUCUCAGACUGAAUGGGUCGGCUUGUCUCUAUGAAUCCUCAGACUAAAUGGGGUAGAUCCUAUCUCCAUCCACCUUAUAUUCCUGUCUCCAGUUCCCUAGUGCUGGGAUCAAAGGUAUGGGCCACCACUGCCUGCAUCUAUUUCUCUUUUAGACUGGUUUAAUCUCAUGUAGCUCAGAGUGACCUUGAACUCCUGAUCUUCCUUUUCCCAAGUGCUGGGAUUAAAGGUGUGUGCCACCACUGCCUGGCCUCUAUAGAUAACUAGUGGCUAGCUCUGCCCUCUGAUCUCCAGACAAGCUUUAUUUGUGAGAACACAAACAAAAUAUCACACAACAGGUGUUGACCUAAGCAACUUUGGAAAUGAGGUGAGAUUGUGGACCAAGGGAGAAGGACCCGCACUUGGGUUUUGCAUUCUUUCCUGUGAAGCUAUUAGUCAACAAUUAUGAAGCUCUGGGUUAAUAUUGGAACAGAACAACUGAGUAAAUAACCAGUGAACAUCCAGAGACAGGUUUCUCAUUGCAGAAGCAGGAAGCUGCAGGGAAACAAGGGAAGACUCGUAUAAUGAGUUCUGGUAGUGUGUUAGAAUUGGGGGCAUCAUUGUGGAUGGACUCAAGUUUAGAUUAAUAUGGACACAGAUGAAUGUGCAUAUGUAAAUGUAUUCAAAAUAAGUGUAGAUGUAGAAACAGUUCUAUGUAUUUAAAGGUACAAAUACUGUCUAUUGGAAGGAGUCACAUGACUAAACAUGCACAUUUAUCUUCUAGUUUUGUCAGAGUGAGGGCUGAGCAUCAACAGUUAUUGUCUACAUCUUGGUUUCUUAUACCAUUAUCCAACCAAAGAAGCCAGGGUUCUAUGAGGAAAGAGCUGGUUCUAGAGCUAGAAAAGGGAAGAUGCAUGGCAGCAAUUCUACAGCUGUACAUUAUCGCACAUUUAUAGCACGAAUCUUAAAUUGUCUUAUUAAUAAGAACAAACCUGGAGCCAGGUAUUGGGGUGAACGCUGGAAGAUCAGAGAAGCAGAACAAGCCAUAGCAACCUCACUUUGGCAAUUCCUCAGUUGAUCCUGUUUCCUCAGACUGGAAGCCUCUGAGUCCUCAUCCAAAUGGAUCUCAGCUAAACUGCUGCUAAAAGCCUAAAAGCUUAACCAGGAUCUAGUUCCUCAUCCUCAUGCCUUAAAUACCUUUCUGCUUCCCAUCAUCACUUCCUGGGAUUAAAGGCUCUUGUUACCAUGCCUGGCUGUUUCCAGUGUGGCCUUGAACUCACAGAGAUCCAGAUGGAUCUCUGCCUCUGGAAUGCUAGGAUUAAGGGUGUGUAUGCCACCAUUUUCUGACUUCUAUAUCUAGUGGCUGUUCUGUUCUCUGACCCCAGAUAAGUUUAUUAGGGUGUACAAUAUUUUGGAGAACACAAUACCACCACACACAUGAAUACUAGGUGAACUGGAAUAGCAUCUUGUAGUGAAAAAAAUGAGCUCUUGAGAUGAAAGGCUAUCAGCUGGACACAGGGGCUAGUGUCAAGUGCUCUCAAUGGCCAAAGCUACAAAGCAACAUAAUUUUAGAUUAUAAGGCAAGAAUAAAUGAAUAUGCAAGGGUUCAUGUAAAUUGCUCCUUAAAUUUGUCCUGCUUUCCAUCAUGAAUUGCAGUGUCCAAAACUUCAAUGGAGAUAAGGAAGUUAAAAAGACUCCUGAGGCUGGGACUCUAGAGAGCUAUUAGGUCCUCAUCAAUGCCAACCCAAUACAUCAAUUUGUUCCUACAAGUAGGAGGAGGCCCUGGAUAUGGUGUCCCCGUCAUACAGGCCAGCAAGCUGAUGCAGAGAUGUACCAUGCCAUUUUGUGAGCCCGAAGACAAUAGAAUAAUCCUUAAAAUGCCAAGGCUCUGCCUCAGGUGAAACUGGGUGAGGGACACUGCCUUGGUCUCCUGAUUCUCAUGGGCUUCCAUCCACAACACAGGGACUACUGUGUCCCCAAGACAAUAACCAUCAUUGUAAGUGCCACUUGGAAAGCACCUAGUAGCCGUGGAUCUACAGGGCACAAGUCUCUGUUGGGGUUUGCAGUCCAUCCUAGCUAAUCCUGUCACUCACCCAGUCACAUUCUUCCUGGUUAUCUUUCCCUAGUCCAAAAUGGCACCUCUCCUGUUCAUGUUUCAGACAUUGCACAUUUCUGGACUGUGAUCCUGUGUACCGCCUCCAUGGUCCCUCCCUGAGAUGGCAUCUCCUUGCCUCCACUUACCACUCACACUGAUCAUUCUCCAAAGAUAACAGCUUCACUUAUUGCCCUGGAGGACAUGGCCACAGAGCUCUCUCCUGGCUGGACAAUAGUAUCUCAGCACAGACGUCAACAGACAGGGCCUCUGACACUCCUGGGCAGCCCCUUGUUACUUUAUAUUUCACAAUUGACACUGUACUCAUUCUGAAUUUGGAAGUGGAAACCACCAUGGGCUCAUGAUGAGAGUCACCAAGAGCCUUUUGUGUUGGAGUCCCAGACUCUGCUUGCUUACUUUGUUAUUCCUCUUGACAAUUGCUAGUUUCUAUUUCCUGAUUGUUUUCAGUUGCAACCACACCCACAGAUGCUCAUCUGAACAUACAUUUUAAAACACACAGAUUCUAUCUUGCACUUCUCAUGUGUCUGCAUGCCUGUCGGUUAGUACCCCUUUUUUUUGAAGAAUUCAACUUCAUACCUAUAGUAAACAGAUGUGGUGAUGACAUUGCUCCUGAAUUGAAGGGGUGGGUGUUACUCUACAGGCAGCUACCUGGCCAUCUUCUUGUGUUUGGGAUGGAGUUGCUCCACUGUCUCCUGGAUGCCCUUGCAUUGUAGCCCCAAGAGGGAAUUCCUUCUGUUUUCAUAUGAUUGGCCUAUUUCCCAUCCACUAUUCCCAGGAGAGAAUGAUGUGUGAUACAUAGGACAUUCUCAUGGAUGACUUGCUUCCUCUCUCAUGUUACUAGAGGAUAAAUGAGUUUGUGGUUCCCCUUUCAGAACAUAGGAGGUACCCUCCCAUUGACCACUCCCACCACUCUUAGCACUCGGCUGUACUCCAGGUGUCUGGCUUAGUCUUCUGGAGCUCAGUGUUGGCACUUUGGGUAUCCGUGGCAUAUUUUCUCCUGACUUUUCCCCUAGUCAUCUUUUCCCUUCCCCUUCAUUGCUGUUCCUUUACAUUGCUCUGAGACGGUUCUUCAACCAUGCACAGUCAUGGGGUCUCGGACUUUGGGACACAGUGGCAGGGAUGCUCUAUACUCACUCUUUUCUUGUUUAAAAUGAGGGGUGAACAGCAGCUAUUGUACUCAGGUGACCCAUUCACCUUCAUCUUUUAUAACUGCGUGUGGCAAUACAAUGUACUGGCUGGAAGGAACACUUCUUUGGACAUUUUAGCCUUGGCCAUGUACCAUCUGUUGCCUUGACAGAAGCAUUUAAGGAAAUCACAACAGUUUCCAAGGUUUUUUUUUUAUGAUUGCAUCCAUAGAGUCCUGACAGCAGGAAGGGGAGUGGUAGUUUGGAAGUAAGGAGGUCCAGAGGGAGCCAAAUGGUCUCUACCGCUGGCUCCUUUCAUUCCUGCUUUAGAGUCUGCCGCGGCCACUCCCGCCCCCAGGGUGGGUGUUGGCCUUUGCACAGUGCCUGCUGGCUGAGAACCUGCUCUGCUCUUUGUCUUGUUUCUGGAUGUCUGUCCUCUCUCUCCAUUUAAAUACUGAAUAUUAAUGACUUGGAAUGGGCCAUAUCCAGGGAUAUCAGCUCUUGGGAUAACUCCUCUGUGGCAGAAAUCUGAGGACCCUACACUGUGCUGGAAUUUCCUAGGUUAGCAAGAGGCUCCAUCAAGAGGAUCCUAUCUGUCUAGGUUCACAGCUUUUGACCUAGAAAAGUUGUUAGAGGGAAAGGAGGGGCAGACGAAUACGUGUUUCUUCUUGCCCAAGAGUUCUCCAAGAGAACAUUCAAGCAAUGACUGCUGUUAGGAGCAAAGGCCCAAGUGACACUGGAUAGCCUUCAGAGGCCUCCAUCACAGCUUUUAAUUUGUACCUGUGUCAGAGGGACAUCUAAGUAUACUUACACAGUUUUUAUAGGUUUCUGCCUACAAUGCAAAGUCACUUUCCAGAUAUGCAGCUGAAAGGAGAUAACUCCACAGACAUGGAAGUGCUCCAUUUCCAAAAGGAGAAAAGUAAACAUUUUCUCUUUGUGAGUUGACUAUCUCAGUCAUUUGUCUACACAGUGGAAGGCUGACUAACACAUGAGUUAACUGUGAAAUGUCAGAACACACAGCAGCUGUGGUUAUCUGCACAAGACCUGCACACAAGAUACACACACACACACACACACACACACACACACACACACACACACACACACAGAGGCAGAGGCAGAGGGCAAGAGAGGGAGGGGAUUAUCUGGGAAGAAGUGGUUUGCAGGUCUAAGAGGGAGAUAAAGACGGUAAUGGGGUGAAUUUGAGCACAAUACACUGUAUACAUGUAUGAAACUGUGUGCAUACUCAUGGAAGUAGCAAGAAGGGUGUUCAAGGUAAGUAGUACAGGUCACCUGUGGACCAAAUACCACACAUACAUUGAGCCAGUGGGACCCAGUCUCACACAGAGUGGGGAACAGACAGCAAAAUACAAAGCCUUUAUAGAUAACUGCAUCAGUUUGCCUGUGCAAAAGUAUAUGUUGUAUGAAUGCAAGGAAAAACAAAGUUUACUAUCAAGUUGGCCUCCUCCUCAAGAUGUAUUUCCAAGUUAGAGACUUAAAUAGUUACUACUUAAAAGAAGAAGAAGAAGAAGAAGAAGAAGAAGAAGAAGAAGAAGAAGAAGAAGAAGAAGAAGAAGAAGAAGAAGAAGAAAGGAAACUGGGAGAAAGCCCUGCCCAGCACAGGAUCUGCUUACUUUAUAUUCUAUUUGAAAAGAGAGGCAAUGUCCUUUGGU